This is a long non-coding RNA of Austrofundulus limnaeus, 463 nucleotides long. RefSeq lists it as uncharacterized. NCBI's taxonomy places the organism in Eukaryota, Metazoa, Chordata, Actinopteri, Cyprinodontiformes, Rivulidae. The transcript is spliced from 2 exons. The record is from RefSeq and is a predicted model, not a curated record.
UCUUGCUGCUGCUGGGGGAAUGGUUGACGGAGGCAUCAACAACCUCGUAGAUGGUGUGAAGCAGGCUGGUGAUGUCCUGCAAGAGAGGGGAUUAAUAAAAGAGUCGGAGAAGAAAGCGCUUCAUUCCCCCCACCAAGCUGCCGCCUGCCGUCUCAUGAGCCACGAAGCCACAGGCAACGCCAAAAUCCUGCAMAGCCAACCGCACAGAGGAAAGCUACAGUCUCUGUUUGCGCCGUUUCAAGUUGUUCUCAAGAAACACGGGGCCUUUUCUGGAUGUUUUCUCAGAUCUGCAGCAGGCAGAUGCAAGCCACGAGGUGCCUCGCAGGAGCGGAAACACACAGACUUUGCUGGAUUUAGUUUUUAGGUAGCGAGAGUUUGAUUCCUCUUUUAUUCUUACUUUAUUUGGACAUGAUGACAUCUCAAUGAGUUACAGAAAUACAUUUUUCUUUGCAAAGUUAAGGAG